CUCAUAUGAUUCAUAAGACUCUGUCUUCUGAUUGCCAUUGGACUCUCCUGUCUCGGAUUCUGCAACAUUUCUUUUCUGGUGACCAGAAGUCCAGGACUAGAGAGGAUAGAGUUGCUGUCUCCUUUGCCUGCAGGCCUAAGAGGGGCCUGAGCUUCCAGAAUCCUCGGACCUCUGGCGCCACCAGGUUAGCUUGCCUCUGCUCUGUUGGUUUAAGUCACACUUCAAUCAAGACCUCAAUGGUCCUGGGGCCAGGGAUUUAGCUCAGUGGUUUUGCUGCCUGCUGCGCAAGCACAAGGACCUUAGUUCGAUCCCCGGUACCAAAAAAAAAAGAAGACCUCAAUGGUCCUGUGAUGCUGUGAUGCUCCAGGGCAGGACCACACCAGCGGG
Molecule: long non-coding RNA, 387 nt
Organism: Heterocephalus glaber (naked mole-rat)
Lineage: Eukaryota; Metazoa; Chordata; Mammalia; Rodentia; Bathyergidae
Source: Ensembl